AGCUACAGGCUUAACACAUGCAAGUCGAGGGGCAGCAUCAUCAAAGCUUGCUUUGAUGGAUGGCGACCGGCGCACGGGUGAGUAACACGUAUCCAACCUGCCGACAACACUGGGAUAGCCUUUCGAAAGAAAGAUUAAUACCGGAUGGCAUAGUUUUCCCGCAUGGGAUAAUUAUUAAAGAAUUUCGGUUGUCGAUGGGGAUGCGUUCCAUUAGGCAGUUGGCGGGGUAACGGCCCACCAAACCAACGAUGGAUAGGGGUUCUGAGAGGAAGGUCCCCCACAUUGGAACUGAGACACGGUCCAAACUCCUACGGGAGGCAGCAGUGAGGAAUAUUGGUCAAUGGACGAGAGUCUGAACCAGCCAAGUAGCGUGAAGGAUGACUGCCCUAUGGGUUGUAAACUUCUUUUAUACGGGAAUAAAGUGAGCCACGUGUGGCUUUUUGUAUGUACCGUAUGAAUAAGGAUCGGCUAACUCCGUGCCAGCAGCCGCGGUAAUACGGAGGAUCCGAGCGUUAUCCGGAUUUAUUGGGUUUAAAGGGAGCGUAGGCGGGUUGUUAAGUCAGUUGUGAAAGUUUGCGGCUCAACCGUAAAAUUGCAGUUGAUACUGGCGACCUUGAGUGCAACAGAGGUAGGCGGAAUUCGUGGUGUAGCGGUGAAAUGCUUAGAUAUCACGAAGAACUCCGAUUGCGAAGGCAGCUUACUGGAUUGUAACUGACGCUGAUGCUCGAAAGUGUGGGUAUCAAACAGGAUUAGAUACCCUGGUAGUCCACACAGUAAACGAUGAAUACUCGCUGUUGGCGAUAUACGGUCAGCGGCCAAGCGAAAGCAUUAAGUAUUCCACCUGGGGAGUACGCCGGCAACGGUGAAACUCAAAGGAAUUGACGGGGGCCCGCACAAGCGGAGGAACAUGUGGUUUAAUUCGAUGAUACGCGAGGAACCUUACCCGGGCUUAAAUUGCAACUGACGGAACCGGAAACGGUUCUUUCUUCGGACAGUUGUGAAGGUGCUGCAUGGUUGUCGUCAGCUCGUGCCGUGAGGUGUCGGCUUAAGUGCCAUAACGAGCGCAACCCUUACGGGUAGUUACCAUCAGGUUAUGCUGGGGACUCUACCCGGACUGCCGUCGUAAGAUGUGAGGAAGGUGGGGAUGACGUCAAAUCAGCACGGCCCUUACGUCCGGGGCUACACACGUGUUACAAUGGGGGGUACAGAAGGCAGCUACACGGCGACGUGGUGCUAAUCCCAAAAGCCUCUCUCAGUUCGGAUUGGAGUCUGCAACCCGACUCCAUGAAGCUGGAUUCGCUAGUAAUCGCGCAUCAGCCAUGGCGCGGUGAAUACGUUCCCGGGCCUUGUACACACCGCCCGUCAAGCCAUGGGAGCCGGGGGUACCUGAAGUCCGUAACCGCGAGGAUCGGCCUAGGGUAAAACUGGUGACUGGGGCUAAGUCAUAACAAG
This 1452-nucleotide ribosomal RNA is filed under the name uncultured organism. RNAcentral describes it as "SSU rRNA". It matches the Rfam family "Bacterial small subunit ribosomal RNA". The record is from RNAcentral.